CAGUAGGUGUCCUUCUUGAUCCCCUUCUUCAUCUCUCCCUGAUCACCUCCCAGGCAAGCUCGCUGCCAUCCGAACCCAAGAACUGUCUGUAAAGGAACAACAAGUUUUCCCCAAUGAUGCUUGACCUUCACAAUUCAUUUCAAUCUUCAUCUUUGAAAUGUCUGAAAAGGUAGUGGUUCUUAGCAAUAAAAAAAAAAACUGCCCCUGAUGUGGAGAUGAGCAAGAGAAAUGGAGGAGAAGGUGCCAGAUGAGGAGGCCAUGGAUUGAGUGAGUACCUUGUUGGAAGGCCAUCCCUCUGGGCUAGUAAAGAAGAGAGCUUGGGCCAGUGGCUAGUCUUACCAUCUAAGUAAGACAUGAUAUGGGAUUGGGUAGAUGGUGAGAUGU
RNAcentral lists this long non-coding RNA (384 nucleotides) under Canis lupus familiaris (dog). RNAcentral describes it as "lncRNA (ENSCAFG00040004750.1)". The record is from RNAcentral. Lineage: Eukaryota; Metazoa; Chordata; Mammalia; Carnivora; Canidae.